Molecule: non-coding RNA, 30 nt
Filed under: Mus musculus (house mouse)
Lineage: Eukaryota; Metazoa; Chordata; Mammalia; Rodentia; Muridae
Source: RNAcentral
UGCUUUACACUCCAGCAUCAGUGCCCACAU